This 506-nucleotide ribosomal RNA is filed under the name uncultured bacterium. RNAcentral describes it as "partial 16S ribosomal RNA". It matches the Rfam family "Bacterial small subunit ribosomal RNA", at positions 30 to 523 of the family's 1533-position model. The record is from RNAcentral.
AUUGAACGCUGGCGGCAGGCCUAACACAUGCAAGUCGAGCGGCAGCGGAAAGUAGCUUGCUACUUUGCCGGCGAGCGGCGGACGGGUGAGUAAUGUCUGGGAAACUGCCUGAUGGAGGGGGAUAACUACUGGAAACGGUAGCUAAUACCGCAUAAUGUCGCAAGACCAAAGAGGGGGACCUUCGGGCCUCUUGCCAGCAGAUGUGCCCAGAUGGGAUUAGCUAGUAGGUGGGGUAACGGCUCACCUAGGCGACGAUCCCUAGCUGGUCUGAGAGGAUGACCAGCCACACUGGAACUGAGACACGGUCCAGACUCCUACGGGAGGCAGCAGUGGGGAAUAUUGCACAAUGAGCGCAAGCCUGAUGCAGCCAUGCCGCGUGUAUGAAGAAGGCCUUCGGGUUGUAAAGUACUUUCAGCGGGGAGGAAGGCGUUGUGGUUAAUAACCACAGCGAUUGACGUUACCCGCAGAAGAAGCACCGGCUAACUCCGUGCCAGCCGCCGCUGUAA